CCAUCAGUAGGUGCAACUCUUUCCAACACCCUUCAGUAGUGUGCUUACCUUGUAUCCUUCAGUAGAUACAUAAAUAAUUAGCAUCCCCCAGUAGAUGUUGUCCAAUAAAAUUUGUUUACAAAUCCAAAAAUUACAAGUCCAAAUAAUCCAAAAUAAAAAAAAAUAAUGUUAUACAAGUACUGGGGUGCCUUCCAGUAAGCUCAUAUCUUCUCUUCCAUGUUGAUAUCUUCGUCACACCAACUCAUCAAUUCCUUUCUAUCCACCCUCUUGAUUCUUCUGAAGUAUGGACUUUCACUUUCUACUACUCCUUUCUUUCUAUGCUUUUUCACCAUCCACUCCUUCUUAUAUUUCACCCUUGAACCAGGUUGGAAUGAUGCGUCCUCUGAGUCAAUGUGGAUUGUGCCUCCUUUAUCAACAUCUUCUUCUUUAUGUAACUGCAAAAUAUUACAAUUAUUAUUGUUAACACCUUUAGAUUUUCCAUCUGUAGCAUCUUUUCUUGAAGCUUUAUAUCUGGCCCUCUUUUGUAUUCGUGUGAGCUUCUCCUCAGAGCUAGUAUAAAUCAA
Molecule: long non-coding RNA, 563 nt
Filed under: Vigna radiata
Lineage: Eukaryota; Viridiplantae; Streptophyta; Magnoliopsida; Fabales; Fabaceae
Description: long non-coding RNA (VRAD_LNC013200)
Source: RNAcentral